CCCUUUCGCCCUUCGGUAAUUCCAGCUCCAAUAGCGUAUACUCAUGUUGUUGCAGUUAAAAAGCUCGUAGUUGGAUUUCUGUUGUGGGAUGCCGGCCGGGUUCUCUGAACUUGUAGCUAGGUUAUCUUGCAGCAUCUUGGCGCAAAUCUCACUGGCAUUCAUUUGUUGGUGUUGACGACCGCCUCGUUUACUUUGAGAAAAUUAGAGUGUUCAAAGCAGGCUAUAGCUUUUGAAUAUAUUAGCAUGGAAUAAUAUUAUAGGACUUUGCGUUCUAUUUUGUUGGUUGUUCGAGGACGCAAGUAAUGAUUGAUAGGGACAGUUGGGGGCAUCAGUAUUCUGAAGCGAGAGGUGAAAUUCUUGGACCUUCGGAAGACUAACAACUGCGAAAGCAUUUGCCUAGGAUGUUCUCUUUAAUCAAGAACGAAGGUUGGGGGAUCGAAGACGAUCAGAUACCGUCGUAGUCUCAACUAUAAACUAUGCCAGCUAGGGAUGGGUUGAUGUUUAAAUACGACUCAAUCCGCACCUUAUGAGAAAUCAAAGCAUUUGGGUUCCGGGGGGAGUAUGGUCGCAAGGCUGAAACUUAAAGGAAUUGACGGGAGGGCACCACCAGGAGUGGAGCCUGUGGCUUAAUUUGACUCAACACGGGAAAACUUACCAGGUCCGGACAUAGCUAGGAUUGACAGAUUGAUAGCUCUUUCUUGAUUCUAUGGGUGGUGGUGCAUGGCCGUUCUUAGUUGGUGGAGUGAUUCGUCUGGUUAAUUCCGUUAACGAACGAGACCCCAGCCUGCUAAAUAGCUUGCUUUAUCUUUGAUAAACGUCAGCUUCUUAGAGGGACUAUUCUGUGUAUAACGAAUGGAAGUUUGGGGCAAUAACAGGUCUGUGAUGCCCUUAGAUGUUCUGGGCCGCACACGGGCUACACUGCGAUGUUCAGCAAGCUUCAUAACCUGACUCGAUAGGGUCGGGCAAUCUUUUGAACUCAUCGCGUGAUAGGGAUAGACUCUUGCAAUUAUUAGUCUUCAACGAGGAAUUCCUAGUAAACGCAAGUCAUCAGCUUGCAUUGAUUACGUCCCUGCUCCUUGUACACACCGCCC
Molecule: ribosomal RNA, 1091 nt
Filed under: uncultured eukaryote
Lineage: Eukaryota
Description: SSU rRNA
Rfam family: Eukaryotic small subunit ribosomal RNA
Source: RNAcentral